This 73-nucleotide transfer RNA is filed under the name Fidelibacterota bacterium. RNAcentral's name for it is "tRNA-Glu". It matches the Rfam family "tRNA". Rfam says of the family: Transfer RNA (tRNA) molecules are approximately 80 nucleotides in length. Their secondary structure includes four short double-helical elements and three loops (D, anti-codon, and T loops). Further hydrogen bonds mediate the characteristic L-shaped molecular structure. tRNAs have two regions of fundamental functional importance: the anti-codon, which is responsible for specific mRNA codon recognition, and the 3' end, to which the tRNAs corresponding amino acid is attached (by aminoacyl-tRNA synthetases). tRNAs cope with the degeneracy of the genetic code in two manners: having more than one tRNA (with a specific anti-codon) for a particular amino acid; and 'wobble' base-pairing, i.e. permitting non-standard base-pairing at the 3rd anti-codon position. Lineage: Bacteria; Pseudomonadati; Fidelibacterota. The record is from RNAcentral.
GGCGCGUUCGUCUAGUGGUCUAGGUCGCUGGCCUCUCACGCCGGUAACAGGGGUUCGACUCCCCUACGCGCUA